UUCUGGUUGAUCCUGCCGGAGGCCACUGCUAUCGGAGUUCGACUAAGCCAUGCGAGUCGAGAGGGGAAAGCCCUCGGCGUACUGCUCAGUAACACGUGGAUAACCUGCCCUGCGGUGGGAAAUAACCCCGGGAAACUGGGGAUAAUGUCCCAUAGGCUACGGAUACUGGAAUGUUCUGUAGAUAAAAGAUUUAUCGCCACAGGAUGGGUCUGCGGCCGAUUAGGUAGUUGUUGGGGUAAAGGCCCAACAAGCCUUUGAUCGGUACGGGUUGUGGGAGCAAGAGCCCGGAGAUGGAUUCUGAGACACGAAUCCAGGCCCUACGGGGCGCAGCAGGCGCGAAAACUUUACAAUGCGGGAAACCGUGAUAAGGGAACUCCGAGUGUCCGUAAAUUCGGACUGUCCGUAUGUUUAAAAAGCAUACGAAGAAAGGGCCGGGCAAGACCGGUGCCAGCCGCCGCGGUAAUACCGGCGGCUCGAGUGGUGGCCACUAUUACUGGGCUUAAAGCGUUCGUAGCUUGGUUGUUAAGUCUCUUGGGAAAUCUAUCGGCUUAACCGAUAGGCGUCCAGGGGAUACUGGCAAUCUAGGGACCGGGAGAGGUGAGGGGUACUUCAGGGGGUAAGGAGUGAAAUCCUGUAAUCCUUGGGGGACCACCUGUGGCGAAGGCGCCUCACCAGAACGGCUCCGACAGUGAGGGACGAAAGCUGGGGGAGCAAACCGGAUUAGAUACCCGGGUAGUCCCAGCCGUAAACGAUGCACGUUAGGUGUAUCGAUGACCACGAGUCAUCGAGGUGCCGAAGGGAAACCGUGAAACGUGCCGCCUGGGAAGUACGGUCGCAAGGCUGAAACUUAAAGGAAUUGGCGGGGGAGCACCACAACGGGUGGAGCUUGCGGUUUAAUUGGAUUCAACGCCGGAUAUCUUACCGGGACCGACAGCAAUAUGAAGGCCAGGCUGAAGACUUUGCCGGAUUAGCUGAGAGGUGGUGCAUGGCCGUCGUCAGUUCGUACUGUGAAGCAUCCUGUUAAGUCAGGCAACGAGCGAGACCCACGCCCACAGUUGCCAGCGUACUCUCUGGAGUGACGGGUACACUGUGGGGACCGCCGCUGCUAAAGCGGAGGAAGGAAUGGGCAACGGUAGGUCAGUAUGCCCCGAAUAUCCCGGGCUACACGCGAGCUACAAUGGUUGGUACAAUGGGUAUCUACCCCUGAAAGGGGACGGGAAUCUCCUAAAACCAAUCUUAGUUCGGAUUGAGGGCUGCAACUCGCCCUCAUGAAGCUGGAAUCCGUAGUAAUCGCGUUUCAACAGAACGCGGUGAAUACGUCCCUGCUCCUUGCACACACCGCCCGUCAAAUCACCCGAGUAGGGUCUGAAUGAGAGCGCUUUCUUUGGAGGCGUUCGAAUUUGGGCUUUGCAAGGGGGGUUAAGUCGUAACAAGGUAGCC
This 1440-nucleotide ribosomal RNA is filed under the name uncultured Methanoculleus sp. RNAcentral's name for it is "16S ribosomal RNA". It matches the Rfam family "Archaeal small subunit ribosomal RNA". The record is from RNAcentral. Lineage: Archaea; Methanobacteriati; Methanobacteriota; Methanomicrobia; Methanomicrobiales; Methanomicrobiaceae.